RNAcentral lists this ribosomal RNA (385 nucleotides) under uncultured bacterium. RNAcentral's name for it is "bacterial SSU rRNA". It matches the Rfam family "Bacterial small subunit ribosomal RNA", at positions 29 to 416 of the family's 1533-position model. The record is from RNAcentral.
AACGAACGCUGGCGGCAUGCCUUACACAUGCAAGUCGAACGGCAGCACGGGAGCAAUCCUGGUGGCGAGUGGCGAACGGGUGAGUAAUAUAUCGGAACGUGCCCAGUCGUGGGGAUAACGUAGCGAAAGCUACGCUAAUACCGCAUACGAUCUACGGAUGAAAGCGGGGGAUCGCAAGACCUCGCGCGAUUGGAGCGGCCGAUAUCAGAUUAGGUAGUUGGUGAGGUAAAGGCUCACCAAGCCGACGAUCUGUAGCUGGUCUGAGAGGACGACCAGCCACACUGGGACUGAGACACGGCCCAGACUCCUACGGGAGGCAGCAGUGGGGAAUAUUGGACAAUGGGCGCAAGCCUGAUCCAGCAAUGCCGCGUGCAGGAUGAAGGCC